GGGGCAGCUGCAGGGCGCGAGACCCGAGGGCCACGCAGCUGCCCGCCCCCGCCGCGGCCGAGAGGGGCGGGUGCGGCAGCUCCCUGAGGCCGGGGGGCGAUGCACGCGGGGCGUGGGCGACAGCCCGCCUCCAGGGCCCGCGUCCGGGAGUCUGCAGCGGUCACCAGCGCCCACCAUCUCCCAAGGCCGGCCUUGGCACUGAGCUCCGGUGGCGGCUUGCGCCUUGGAGACGGAGUCCUUCCUUGGGAACCCGGGAAAGCGACUUAGGGAGUCACUUAUCCUGGGAGCCCCAAACCACUGCUCAACUGAGCUUCCCCCAAGCCUAAGCCCCCAAGACCCCGUGCCGAUUGAAAGGUUCUCUAGAGCCCCGAGCUAGAAGAAGCCAGGCCACAGGGCGAAGUCUACACGUCUCGGAUGGACACAGUUGCAGGAGCCCCGGAGGCCACAGUUACCCAUCAGAAAGAAGGCUGUAGAGCCACGGAAUCAUCAGACUCAGCUACUGGGGUACUGACACCAGUCUAUGGUUUUGAAACAAUGCAAGAGGAAGAAGACAAGAUCCAAACACCUUUGUUCCUUAUCGGCGACCCCUGACGGUUUGAAAUAUUUCAAUAUUAAAAUUUAGACAAAAAUUUGGGAAACUGCCUAAGAACUUGUGGAGGGAAAGGGUUUUCAUCUUGUUCACCUUGAUUCCUCCAAAGCUGAAGUGAUACCAUUAUAAGAAUCAAAGCAA
Molecule: long non-coding RNA, 730 nt
Organism: Bubalus bubalis (water buffalo)
Lineage: Eukaryota; Metazoa; Chordata; Mammalia; Artiodactyla; Bovidae
Exons: 3
Source: RefSeq, a predicted model, not a curated record